UUUCCUUCUAAUCAUGCUGAGCAUUGUACAGAAUGUAUCCCUAGUCUCUAUUUUUAGUUUGUGUCCUGGAAAAGGUAGACUUCCUGUGUUGAGAGGUACUAAAAUAGACACUUGAAACUUAAAUGUUUUUCAUGUAAGAGAAUGUAUGCUCUGGCUUAGUUAUGGCCAUCUGAUACAGUUGAAACUUGUAGAGCAACAUCAAUUGUCAAAUACUUCUGACAUCUUGGCAGCAAGCUUGAGCUUCUUCGUGGAUGUGUAAUUUAUUGUCAUCUUUUCUUCUUUAGUCCUGCCAAAUAUAUGACACCCAUAAAAACAUAUGCCUUUGGCAGUCUGUGGCACAUUCCUGCUUCUCAGCAACUUGAUAGGCUGUGGGAAACAGCUUCACUUCAGCAGGAUGGCUGUGGUGCGAGUUCAGUGCCUGCCAUACAGCUGACAUCUAAGAGCAGGUACAGAAGCUGGUGUCAUGAGGAAGUGAGCCUAGAUAGCAGCAUAGUGAGUGAUGUGGGAGUGGAGCAUGGGAAGCUUCUUGGAAAAGAAGAAAGGGGUAUAGACUGGAAGUUUCCUUCAGCGUUACUGAUAGAGCAUGUGUCUGUUUUGGCUAGAAUACUUCUCACUUACCCCAACAGAUUUAGGAGGACAGAGAUAGAGAGCAUGAGUUUGAACUGAUAUGAAUGCCUAUGCAGGGUGAGAUAGGAUGGGUUGGUAUUAUCUAAUGUGCUUCUAGCUGAUGAUAUUUAAACUCAAGAGAACCUGUAGAUUUUGAAAGGCCUAUGUAAUUCAAGCAGUUUCUUAUCAGUAUAGUACUAUUGUCAAUAUAGUACAACAAUUUUACCAAGUGGGAGUUUCUAUUUCUACCGUGGGCAACUCAGAAGAGAAUAGAAAUUGAAAUUAGACAUGGGGAAGAAAGUUGCUUCAAGCAUGUAAAAUUCCACCUAUAAUUGUAGUAUAGCUAGUCUAGCAUAUUAUUUCUUAAAUUCAGAAAUAAACUUCAGUGAACAUCAGAAGAAAAAAAGAGACAGAAAAAUAUCUGCUUCUGUAUAGCCUGUCUUUUAGCUGCGUGCUGAGUUGUGCAUAAUUGUAAUAGAUACUCAAACUUUAGAACUUAAAAUGCAACAACUACCCCUAUAGUUUUCAUUUGAAAACGAAAGUAUCUGCUAUUGAAAUAACUGAAGCAAAGAGAAGCUGCAUGAUGCAGCUAACAGACAAACAAAACUAGACUAUGAUUUUUGUAGAUGGAGUAGGUGGCAAAAACUACUGUAAAGUUUUGUUAGCCCUGCCCGUUGUGCUCAGGAUUUACCUUCAACUGCAAACCUGAAAAGCUUCUGUUCCCUCUUUAAGAGAACAUAGUUUCAAAUU
RNAcentral lists this long non-coding RNA (1356 nucleotides) under Gallus gallus (chicken). The record is from RNAcentral. Lineage: Eukaryota; Metazoa; Chordata; Aves; Galliformes; Phasianidae.